UACGUAGGGGCCUAGCGUUGUCCGGAUUUACUGGGCGUAAAGAGCGCGCAGGCGGUCGUGCAAGUCGCGUGUGAAAGCCCCCGGCUCAACUGGGGAGGGUCACGCGAUACUGCUCGACUGGAAGGCAGGAGAGGGUAGUGGAAUUCCCGGUGUAGUGGUGAAAUGCGUAGAUAUCGGGAGGAACACCAGUGGCGAAGGCGACUACCUGGCCUGUUUCUUGACGCUGAGGCGCGAAAGCUAGGGGAGCAAACGGG
Molecule: ribosomal RNA, 254 nt
Filed under: uncultured bacterium
Lineage: Bacteria
Description: partial 16S ribosomal RNA
Rfam family: Bacterial small subunit ribosomal RNA
Source: RNAcentral